ACGGCUUAUGAGGAAUCACACCAACUGUCGAACAGGAGACAGUCAAUUCGACCGAGAAUUUUGUUCUUUUUGUGUAUGAAGUCGUCGGGUGCAAAUCGCGAGUCAACCGCGGACGGAGUUACUUUUGGAAGAGCCGGGGAACGAUCAAGCGCCAACAACGGACAAAGUCCCGCUGAGGCAUUCAAGAGAGAAAACCCAGGAAGGCCCUCCAGAGAGGGCUUUUUCUUUUUUCCUGUUUCUGUUCUGCGGUGUGGUGUUCCGAAUUUCGGCGGCAUCGGAUUCGAACGGACUGUUCGGAUUGGGCCAGCGGAAACAAGCAAGUCGGCACGGGAAGGACUGGAGCGGUUUGAGAAUUUUUAGCUGGGAGCGGUGGCGGACUGGUGUUGCUGAACGGACGCGGCGCACCGCGAAAACCAGAUGGCAGUCAAGUGAGCU
Long non-coding RNA from Wyeomyia smithii (pitcher-plant mosquito), 435 nucleotides. RefSeq lists it as uncharacterized. The record is from RefSeq and is a predicted model, not a curated record. The transcript is spliced from 3 exons. NCBI's taxonomy places the organism in Eukaryota, Metazoa, Arthropoda, Insecta, Diptera, Culicidae.